UUGAUUUAGGGAGCAAACAAGGCAAUUCCGUACUUAACAUUAACUUCACCAUUCCACCGAUUAUGCAAUUAGCAUGUGAUGAUGGUGAAGAUUCGAAGAGAGGUGAGAAGUCAAUUGCGUAACUUCACCUGCCUCAACCACUACUUCACUCAUUCGAUAGUGACUACGAGGAUAAGCUAGUACGUUAAAGUGGGUGGACUCUACUUUUCUGCUGUUAUGCUGCUCAUAGCUGCAAGCCUGCAAGGAUGAGCUAGUACGUUCCAGUGGGUGGACUCUGUACUUUUCUGCUGUGAUGCUGCUCAUAGCUGCAAGUAAGCCUGGUUAUUGGGCGAGGUCAGGGCGGGUCAUUAGCGGGUCAGUGACUCAGCAGGAUGCGGAUGCAGGGGGUGCAAGUUAAAGCUCAAAAUCCAUUUGUUGGCUAGUUUAGGAGUAAGUAAUCUUACACCAUUGUCAAAGCAUACUUAGUGUGUCCCUAAUCAUGAUUAGCGAUUCAAUUAGCGUGUUUGUUGCUUACCCUUUGCCAGAGUAUACUGUCAUAUUACACAUUUUUUAUUUGUCUUCGAGAAACUGGAUUGUAUUUCUGAACAACUGAUUGUGUAAGAUCAUAAGAUUCUGAUGGAUGUUUUGGUUUGAAUCUUCAGCAAAA
Molecule: long non-coding RNA, 646 nt
Organism: Spinacia oleracea (spinach)
Lineage: Eukaryota; Viridiplantae; Streptophyta; Magnoliopsida; Caryophyllales; Amaranthaceae
Exons: 4
Source: RefSeq, a predicted model, not a curated record